This 467-nucleotide ribosomal RNA is filed under the name uncultured bacterium. RNAcentral describes it as "partial 16S ribosomal RNA". It matches the Rfam family "Bacterial small subunit ribosomal RNA", at positions 28 to 507 of the family's 1533-position model. The record is from RNAcentral.
GACGAACGCUGGCGGCGUGCUUAACACAUGCAAGUCGAACGGAAAGGCCCUGCUUUUGUGGGGUGCUCGAGUGGCGAACGGGUGAGUAACACGUGAGUAACCUGCCCUUGACUUUGGGAUAACUUCAGGAAACUGCGGCUAAUACCGGAUAGGAGCUCCUGCUGCAUGGUGGGGGUUGGAAAGUUUCGGCGGUUGGGAUGGACUCGCGGCUUAUCAGCUUGUUGGUGGGGUAGUGGCUUACCAAGGCUUUGACGGGUAGCCGGCCUGAGAGGGUGACCGGCCACAUUGGGACUGAGAUACGGCCCAGACUCCUACGGGAGGCAGCAGUGGGGAAUAUUGCACAAUGGGCGGAAGCCUGAUGCAGCAACGCCGCGUGCGGGAUGACGGCCUUCGGGUUGUAAACCGCUUUCGCCUGUGACGAAGCGUGAGUGACGGUAAUGGGUAAAGAAGCACCGGCUAACUACGUG